Molecule: ribosomal RNA, 500 nt
Filed under: uncultured Sphingobacteriales bacterium
Lineage: Bacteria; Pseudomonadati; Bacteroidota; Sphingobacteriia; Sphingobacteriales
Description: bacterial SSU rRNA
Rfam family: Bacterial small subunit ribosomal RNA
Source: RNAcentral
GCCAGCCCGCUCAAGAAACUCAAAUGAAUUGACGGGGGCCCGCACAAGCGGAGGAGCAUGUGGUUUAAUUCGAUGAUACGCGAGGAACCUUACCUGGGCUCGAACGUAAGAUGACUGUAGGUGAAAGCUUACAUCUCUUCGGAGCAUUUUACGAGGUGCUGCAUGGUUGUCGUCAGCUCGUGCCGUGAGGUGUCGGGUUAAGUCCCAUAACGAGCGCAACCCCUACCUUUAGUUGCCAUCAGGUUAAGCUGGGGACUCUAAAGGAACUGCCUACGCAAGUAGUGAGGAAGGCGGGGAUGACGUCAAAUCAGCACGGCCCUUACGUCCAGGGCUACACACGUGCUACAAUGGCCGAUACAGAGGGCAGCUACCUGGUGACAGGAUGCAAAUCUCCAAAGUCGGUCUCAGUUCGGAUCGGAGUCUGCAACCCGACUCCGUGAAGUUGGAUUCGCUAGUAAUCGCGCAUCAGCCAUGGCGCGGUGAAUACGUUCCCGGGCCUU